Triticum aestivum (bread wheat) is the source of this 2767-nucleotide RNA transcript. It is a transcript of the gene named protein FAR1-RELATED SEQUENCE 5, with no coding region annotated. Lineage: Eukaryota; Viridiplantae; Streptophyta; Magnoliopsida; Poales; Poaceae. The transcript is spliced from 7 exons. The record is from RefSeq and is a predicted model, not a curated record.
GGAUUCUGGACCAUGGUCCAGAUUCUUUGCCUCUCGUGUUUAUGCUAUGGCGCAUUAAUGGCGGGUGUGUUGGGUGGGAGGGGGCGGUGCGUCCUUGGGUCUUCUCUUACCCCUGUGCGCAGGCGGAAAAAACAAAAAGAAAAAAGUGUUUGAUGCAAAUAAGGGCAUGGAGGAGCUCACUGCUCGAGCGCUGGCGGAAGCGGCGGCCGUACUGACGGGGAGCGUAGGCGGGGGUGUCGUCGACUUCCCCCCGGAUCUAGUCUGCAGUUUGCCGAUCUUCAGUGGCGGUGCUCCGUCUGUGGGCUCUGCGCAUGAUGAGGGGAGCGAGGUGUGGGGCUGGCGAGGGACUGGCCUGCCAGAUUCGUCAGUGGCCGUUCAGGAUAGUUGCGGUGAUGCCGGGGGGGAGGGCAGCGGCGACAGCGCUCCAGCGGAGUCGGCGAGUCGGCGGUGAAGCCACAUCCGAAGGCGCCGGGGUGGAUUCAGAGGAGAGCCAUUUUCCCCCUUUAUGUAUUUGUACUGAAAAAAUCAUGCUGCGAUCCUCUAUUGUUACAAUUGUGUAGUAGAGUCCGUGUGAGGGGCGAAUCCUAUCAAGCGAACACCAUGCCCUGGUAGGAUGGGUACGCUUGAGAAGACCAUCAAAGGAUUUGCGUAAAGGGAAGGAGACGAGGAGCAUGGCUUUGGCAUCAGAUAUGGAAAAGGCCGGUUCAACCGGGAAAAAAGGAAGACCAUGCAGGAGAUUGUUUGUGGAUGCUCAAUAAGGGAAGCAUCUCCGUGAGAACACAAGGUCAUGUCGGUGCGAGUGUCCAGCGAUGAUCGGGCUGUUGAGGACAUCGGGUAAUGGGUGGUACAUAACGGAGCAUCGAGUAAAGCACAACUAUGUCAUGGCCCCUAACUGUGGUGAGAUGCUGCAUUGGCCAUCCCACAAGCACAUUGAUGUUUACACAAGGGAUCUGGCGAGGAACCUGCAGAAGAAUAACAUCAACAUCAGCAAAGUGUACAUCACAAUUGGAGGGUUCUUCGGGACGAUUGAAAAUGUGCCUUUCGCGAAGAGGGUGCUUUGGAACUUGUGCGGGAAAAUAGGUCGGGACGAGCCAGAUGAUGAUGUGAAGAAAACAAUUGAAGUGUUCAAUGAACUAGGUGCAAAGGACCCUGAUAUUUUGUUCCGGGUUCAGGCUGAUGGCGAGAGCAGGAUGAAAAAUCUAAUGUGGACAACAGGGCAUAGUAGGCUAAAGUACAAGUUCUUUGGUGAUGUUGUCACCUUCGACACCACAUAUCGGACAAACAUGUAUGACAUGCCAUUUUGGCUGUUUGUUGGGGUUAAUAAUCAUUUUCAGAGCAUCUUGCUGGGAGGGGUGCUGCUUAGGGAUGAAGAAGUAGAAAGCUUCGAGUGGGUUUUCACGGAGUUCCUUAGGAUGAUGGGUGGUGUGGCACCGAGAACCAUAUUGACGGAUCAGUGCAGAGCUAUGGAGGUAGCUAUAAAAACAACACUUCUGGAUACAGUCCACCGGUGGUGCAAAUGGCACGUCCUAAAGAAAGCAAAAGAAAGUCUUGGUGCUUUGUAUGGCAAGAGAACUGAAUUCAGGCAAGAGUUCCACAAGGUUGUCAAGACCAUGUUAACGGUGGAUGAGUUCGAAGAAGCUUGGGCACAUUUGAUCGAGAAAUACAACCUGAAGACCCACUCGUACAUGACUUAGCUAUUUGAAAUACAAGAAAUGGGUUAAGCCGUACUUCAAAAUGGUUUUCUGCACAAAAUGUCUGGCACCCAGCAGAGUGAGAGUGCAAACCAUAGGCUAAAGAAUUAUGUGCCACCAGGUUCACCAAGGCAUAAGUUUGUCAUGUAAUACAUGAGGCUGCAGUUUGACCCAUCAUCUAAUGAGCUACGAGAAGAGAACAAAAAUCGUGAUGGAUUUUUUGGGGAUGGUGAGAUCCCAGAGAAGCACAUUGUGAAGAGAUGGACAAAGGAUGCUCGUGCCAUACUACUAGAGCACCUACAGCACUACGAGCGAGAUCAGAUUAGCUCUACUAUGCUAACUUUCAGAAAUACUACGCUAGCUUUCAGAAAUAACAGAAUGUACAUGCACUGGAGUUAGUGAGGCUCGGAGACACGAGUGUGGAAGCUUACGAAACUCUGAUGGGUCUAUUGAAUCAAGCGCUGCUGGUGAUGACACCGUUUGAUAAGGCAAAGGAUGGACUAAGACUGGAGGACCGUGUGCAGAACAAAGGCCAACAAGACGGAGCCGCGAGACAGAGAACAUGUAAUCCAGAGGCUGAUGAAGUGAAUUCCGAGCAUAGCCAUCCUUUAGGGCUUGUUCGUUUAUUCCCUUCCCCAAGGUGAUUGGAGAGGUUUGAAGGGGAUUGGGAAGGAAUUUGACAUACAGGGGAUGUAAUCCCUCACAAUCCCCUUUAAUCCCCCUCAAACAUUGUGCAACCGAACAAGGCCUUAGCAGGUUUGGAACCGCCGGCGAAGAAGAGAAAUCCGGGAAGGCCAAUGAAUGUUAGGAACAGAGCACCUUACGAAAGCACGGCGAAGAGGAGAUUAAGGGGCACAAACGAACAACUUGCCCACAGCAAGGAGACACCCCGAAAAAUCCUAGGAAGGAGGCAAUGUGCAGCAACUGCGGCGUGGUUGGACAUAGGAAGAACGCGUGCAGACAGACCGGCCGGGCAAGGGGCUAAUGCUGAGACUGCAUAGCUUUACUGGAUAUCCUGUUCUACUUGUAACAAAAAGUGUAAACCUGUUAAUUUGUAGCUGCCUGCACGUUUAAGA